Molecule: ribosomal RNA, 391 nt
Filed under: uncultured bacterium
Lineage: Bacteria
Description: bacterial SSU rRNA
Rfam family: Bacterial small subunit ribosomal RNA
Source: RNAcentral
GAUGAACGCUGGCGGCGUGCUUAACACAUGCAAGUCGAACGAGAAUCUUUGGAUAGAGACUUCGGUCAAUUGAAGAAGAGGAAAGUGGCGGACGGGUGAGUAACGCGUGAGUAAUCUGCCUUGGAGUGGGGAAUAACACAGAGAAAUUUGUGCUAAUACCGCAUGAUGCAUCUAGGUCGCAUGGCUUUGGAUGCCAAAGAUUUAUCGCUCUAAGAUGAGCUCGCGUCUGAUUAGAUAGUUGGCGGGGUAACGGCCCACCAAGUCGACGAUCAGUAGCCGGACUGAGAGGUUGGCCGGCCACAUUGGGACUGAGACACGGCCCAGACUCCUACGGGAGGCAGCAGUGGGGAAUAUUGGGCGAAUGGGGGAAACCCGUGACCCAGCAACGCCG